UACAGCCACACACACACACACACGCACACUGCAAUCACACGUAGCAGCGGUAAACAGGCUGACCACAGGCGGCCGACCGGAUCGGAACAGUCACCAAGCAACAGGACAGUGGCAGAACAGCGGCGAAACAGCGGCGAAGCAGCGGCGAAACAGCGGCGAAGCAGCGGCCAAAUAGCCGUGGUUAAUCAGCUGUAUGUACACUUGGCGUUGACGUUAGCCUUAGCGUUAGCGCUAGCGUUAGCUUUAGCGCUAGCGUUAGCUUUAAAGUUCCAGUUAUAAGUCCGGGUGCAUUGGCAUCCCGUCCAAAGAGGGAGAGGGGUGAAGAAUUCAGGCGUGGCAGGGAAAACAGCCACCAUGCAGCACACAACCAGCAGACAAUGCUCUGGUUGCGGCAAUAAACACCGCCCCGACUGAUCGGCUCGACCGCGGUGAAGACGCCGGAUCUGUGCUCGGAUGCUAGCGGCACAUACAACGACCCGGAAGCGAGAGAUCAGGAGGAGGGACACAGCCUACUUUUCUCCACUCGCUGUACAUCCAGACGACCACGCUGACCAUCUCCAUGAACCUGAGCGUGUCCGUAGCUCUGGGGCUGCUCUACAUGCCCAAAGUCUACGUCAUCAUCUUCCACCCAGAGCUCAACGUACAGAAGAGGAAACACUCGCUCAAGGCCGUUGCCACAGCCGCCGCCAUGUCGUCCCGACUGUCGCACAAAGUCAGCGAGUGACCCAACGGAGAGGCCAAGACAGAGCUGUGUGAGAACAUGGAGGCCAUCAUUGAGUCACAUGACAUCUGAAGAAGACAGAGAUGAAACAUGAUGACAUCACCAUGUAUAACAUCCAAUAAUAAUCCACGAGUAACUGACUGAGCAGUGAAGAAGAGACGCGUGAAUGACGACCUUGUGAUGUAACAGCACAGAGACAGUGAGACGGUGAGACGUGUCUUCUGCUCACAGACUGAAAACCAGACCUGCUUCACGUCAGACGCUGCAGCAUAGCAUCAUGGGACUUUUCCUCUGGAGCCCACAGAUGCUGUGACGUCGUUUAGAGAAUGACAAAAAAGGGUCACAUAGGGUCACGUAUUUCCCAACAUGCCCCCGCCCGCUGGAGCCACGCCUCCUGUUGUCUUGUCUUCUGAUGUACUUGCAACCGUGUGUUCAUGUUUCUGUGUCGUUAAUGUUUGUUUUUAUCCAUGACGUUGAUGAUGAAGAUGAUGAAGAUGCAGUCAUGUAACACUUCCAGGACUCAUGUUUCUUGUUGUGAUGCGGUGUCAUUUGUGUUCUGCUGAGUCAUGUGACACCUGACCUCUGGUCUGGAGGCAACGCCAUGACUAAAUCAAAAUUAAGUCCAUCAUAAUGAGUCCAUCAUUUGCAGCUGUUUUGUCGUAAACAGAUGUUGUCAAUCAGCUAAAUGCUGUUGAAUGACCUUUAACCUUUGGUCUUUCUAUGUUUCAUCAGUUGUUUUUGUAUCUUGUUUUGACCUGAUGAUGAUCACAUGACUCUUGGAGCUUCUCGUGUUAUGGAAGGGUUCAAAAACUUUAUUUACAAUUGUAAUUGUAAUUUUUUUUAAUAGAAUAAUUGGCUAUAGAAUAAAUUCCCAGAAAAUAUAGAAGGAAAACUUCCUUAAAAAGGGAAGUAUAUCCAUGUUCCAGGUGUUCCAGGUUGUUGGUCACUGCAUGUCUGAUGUGUUUGAUGGUCAGCUGACAGAAUAUGACUUUGAUCUGUUUCUUAUUUUCCCAGAGAAAAAUAUAAAACUCUAUAUUUAAAAUGGGUUGUGAUAUAAAAACAGAAGCAUGUAUGUUUUCUACCGUUUGUAUUUUCAUGUCGCUGCUUCACUGCUGAUGUUGUGGGACAAAUGUUUCCAUCUUCUGUGCUGUGGUCUUUUUUACUUGUGUCUCAAAUACCAAAAGAAAACCUUUUGGUAUUUGUGUCUUUUUCACUCAACGGCCUUGACUGAUAUUUAAUUAUUGAUCUCUUCCUCUUCAUGAUGAAGCAUCGGUGGAUUUGUACAUGAUCAUCUUUUGCCUGACAAGAAAAAAAGUCUUCUUUUUUCUUCGUUUGCUUGACUGAGU
Solea solea (common sole) is the source of this 2067-nucleotide long non-coding RNA. RefSeq lists it as uncharacterized. The record is from RefSeq and is a predicted model, not a curated record. The transcript is spliced from 3 exons. Lineage: Eukaryota; Metazoa; Chordata; Actinopteri; Pleuronectiformes; Soleidae.